Molecule: ribosomal RNA, 253 nt
Filed under: uncultured bacterium
Lineage: Bacteria
Description: partial 16S ribosomal RNA
Rfam family: Bacterial small subunit ribosomal RNA
Source: RNAcentral
UACGAAGGGAGCUAGCGUUGUUCGGAAUCACUGGGCGUAAAGCGCACGUAGGCGGAUUUGUAAGUCAGGGGUGAAAUCCCGGGGCUCAACCUCGGAACUGCCUUUGAUACUGCAAGUCUCGAGUCCGGAAGAGGUGGGUGGAAUUCCUAGUGUAGAGGUGAAAUUCGUAGAUAUUAGGAAGAACACCGGUGGCGAAGGCGGCCCACUGGUCCGGUACUGACGCUGAGGUGCGAAAGCGUGGGGAGCAAACAGG